CAUUGUUUUAGUUGUUAUUGUAACAUUAAACUCUAUUAUUCAUUGUGCGCAAGUGCUGUUGGUUUAGUGUUAUUCGCUGAUGGACAUAUGCUUUGUUGGCUCCAACCCAAAAUCGCCAACCACCCGUAUCAGGGACUUGGGUUCUGACGUGAUUUCAACACUUUUAGUAUAGCGCGAGAUUUUCCAGCAAUCGGUCGAGUUUUCCGGACAAUUACUCCAUUAAUUUAGAAAGAGUACAGUUGACACAUAGGUCCUGCGAAUAUUUAAGUGACGUUUAGAAAUAACAAUUUUUAAAGGAAAAUGGUGAAGAACAAAGUAGAAAACUGAGAUUUGUUGCAAAUACGCGCGCUACGGAUUGGUGUAUUUAACAAAGAAAGUUCAAUGUUAUUUUAAUUAAGAUACUUAUAAAAACUUUUCGAAAAGCAUGCUGUCUGAAGGAAAUUAAACAAACAUAGCUUUGAUUCCUUAAAGAUUUUUUGUGGAAAAUAUAUAUAAAAUUUAGAAUAAUAAGUAUGCGAUCCGUAAAAAUGCGACUAGAACCACCGACCGUCUUAUAAAUAAAUACAAUUGAAUCAUUGGAAAGACGAACAAUAAAGUCAGAACUCAUUAGGCUCACUAAAACAAUGACAAACCCCAAACAAACAUUUCAUUUUAUAUACUUAGCUAUAGUAUUUAUUAUAGGCUUUCAAGUCAGUUACGCACAAACAACGUGUAAGAAUGGCUUAGGACGCGUUCUAUACGAACGACUGCCCAACCAGCAACUACAGGGUUACGACGAUGAUGUAGUGCGCGACACAGCGCCGCCCUUUCGAGUCUUAGAAAAAUGUCAAGACUUGUGUCUGCGCGAUCGCACCGGCACCAACAACCUGGUACGCACCUGCACCAGCUUUGACUUUCAACCAGGCAGUCGCAUCACCUCUUUCGGCGGCACCUCCGAAUACGAAGAAUCCCUUUGCUACCUAACAUCCGAACAAGCGGGUCCUGAGGGCAUCGGCAGUCUGAUGCUGGUACCAAAUAGUGUGCAUUUCAAUGAGAUUUGCUUGACCUCUAAUCGCCCGGAAAGAGAAUGUCCCAGUAGGCGGUAUGUGUUUGAGCGGCAUCCGCGCAAGAAAUUGAAAUUACCAAUCUCGGAUGUCAAGGAGUUUACGGCAGCGAAUCGUUCGGAUUGUGAGGAUAAGUGUUUAAAUGAAUUUGCAUUCGUUUGUCGCUCCGCCAAUUUCGACUCUACAAUGCGUUCCUGCACGUUAAGCAGGUUCACACGUCGCACACAUCCAGAAUUACUCGAAGAUGACCCCAACUCUGAUUACUUGGAAAACACCUGCUUAAAUGCUGAGCGACGUUGUGACGGUCUAGCUGUGUUCGUUAAGGAGGAGAACAAACGACUAGGCGGUCCCUUCGAAGUGGAUAUUUUCAAUAAUAUGACUUUGGAGGAAUGUCAGACUAUGUGUCUACGCGCCGAGAAAUACUUCUGUCGUUCCGUCGAGUUCGAUGAUCAGACGAAGCAGUGUAUUUUGUCUGAGGAGGACUCUAUUUCACAGAAAGAUGACAUCAGUAUAAGUUCCAGUCCGACGCACCAUUUUUACGAUUUGGUCUGCUUAGACAACCAACGUGCCACUGAUUACCCCGAUAAUUCCGUCACAUCACAUUUAUUCUCUUCGGGUCGCCGACCCGACACGGCUUUUCAGCGUUACCGAAAUUCACGUCUGGGUGGAGAAUUUCAUUCCGAGAUUACUGGCCGCUCCUUGAGUGAAUGCCUCGACGAGUGUUUGCGUCAAACUAGCUUCCAGUGUCGAUCGGCGGUUUAUAGUGAUCGCUUUCGCACUUGCCGCUUGAGUCGUUACAAUCAAAAGGAUGGCAUGCGUAUUAUUUACGACGCAGACUACGAUUAUUACGAGAAUCUAAUGUUAAACGUGGUUGGCGGUGGCGAUACGGAUGGACACGGUGGAGUUAGCAAUGGCGGUAAUCACAGGCCAAGUGAGCAUGGAAGCUCUAAUUGGCGGCCCCCCAGUAAAGAUGACGAUCGUUAUGGCACGGGGGGUGGUGUCAAUACUGGUGGUAGAUACCCUGUCGGCGGUGGCGGUACCACAGGAUCUGGAACACCUGUUGGCGGUAGUGCUGAUGAUUACGGGCGCCCUUACGAUCGCUAUCCAAUACCUAAUGAAUAUGAUCGUUAUCCAGGUAGCGGGAGCGGCGGUGGUGACCGAUACGGUAACGAUGGUCGUUACCCAUCAUCUAUUGACAGUCGCGAUCCCUAUGAAGAACGCUAUCCACCGGGACGCCUUCCUGUUGGUGAUCAAGAGCGAUAUCCAAGUGAUCGUGAUCGUCAUCCAGGUGUAGGAUUAGAUUUAUAUCCAGGUGAUCGAGAACGUUACCCAGGAGACCGUGAUCGUUAUCCUAAUGAGCGUCAUCCAUUCGACCGUGACCGUGACCGGGAUCGUGAUCAUUUUCUUAUUAGGGAGCAUGAUCUUGAUAGAUAUGCUGGUGGUGAUCGCGAUCGUUAUCCUGGAGAUCGAAAUCGAUAUCCAGUUGGGGAUCAAGACGGUUUCCUUAUCAAUAAUCGUGAACGUGAACGUUAUCCAGGUUUUAACGAUCGUUAUCCACCUGGUCGUUAUGGCGAGCGUAACCGUGAACGAGAUCGCGAUCGCGAUAGUGAUCGUGAUCGUUACCCAAUUGAAGGUUAUCCACGCCGGGGUCCGUAUUCUCACCGUCCUCUAGAUCGUUACCCUAUACCUCCAAUCAACGGAUUAUCUAGUGAUCUGCCUCACACUAGACCUUAUCCUCCAGAUGAUGAUCUACCCUAUCGUCCUUAUGUUACUGCAAGCCGUUACCCACAAGACCGUUAUGCUAGUAGAUAUCCUUCACGUUAUCCACCAGAAAGAGAUCAUACAUAUGGUUACACUGGACGCGAUGCCCCUGACAAUUUUUUCCUUGAUAAACGUUUUCGCCCCUCCUCUAUUGACUCACGUGACCCUUUGCUGCAACCACCGCAACGAUUUGGACCAGACAGCCGUUAUCCUCCAGAUGACUUAAUACACACUGCUCGAAGGCCAGAACCAGAUUCAGCUAAACGUUAUCCCCCAGCACCUUUAGUGCCACCCACAACUAUAAGCAAAUACCCCUCUACACCAAAUCGAUUUCCGGUAGGUACUGACCGCUACCCCAUCGAUAUAUAUAAAUAUGGCAAUCGAGGUAGCAGUGGUAGCAGCAGUGGCGUAAGACCAGGUUAUGAUCGUCCACGUCCGCCACCUCAUUACUAUGAUGUAGACUAUGAGGACCGUUAUGGUGGCUAUGAUCGUGAAUACGAAGGACCUAUUGGCAGACGACCUUUAGGUGGUGGUAGCGGCUAUCCUCACUAUGAGAGUCCUUUCAAUCGUCCAUAUGGACAUGGCGUGGGUUCUCCGCCCCCACUUGACGACAAUCGACCUUUGCCACCACCAUUACAUCCCUAUGGGGCAGCUGGAAGCAUUGGACCAGUAACGUCCGGCGGUGGUCCACCACGGCCCCCAGUGACGCGUUGUGAAGAGACUGACAAUUUCAAACAAAUCGCAGCAAGACACAAAAUGCGCCGACACUAUGUGCGGCGGUCACUAGUCGUGCCCUCCCUAAUACAGUGCGAACGAGAGUGCAUUGAAUCGCGUGACUUUAUUUGUCGUAGCUUCAAUUACAGGGAUGCGGCGGCUACAAACUACGAUGAACGCGAUAUGCCCAAUUGUGAGCUAAGUGAUCGGGAUUCACGUGAACUGGACGUUCAUGAUCCAAGCAAUUUCGAUGCAGCUAAUUACGACUACUACGAGCGUAGUUUGGGUCGUAGUGAUGGCGAGUGUAUGGAUGUGACGCAGACUUGCAACGAGGAGGGAAUGGAAUUCACCAUACGCACUCCGGAAGGAUUUCUUGGACGGAUCUAUACAUACGGGUACUAUGACCGAUGCUUCUUCCGCGGCAACGGUGGCACUGUAAAUGUGCUACGCAUCAGCGGUCCACAAGGCUAUCCCGAUUGCGGCACCCAACGAUAUGGCGACACGCUGACCAACAUUGUUGUUGUGCAAUUUUCCGAUAAUGUGCAAACCAGUCGUGACAAACGAUACAAUUUAACUUGUGUAUUCCGUGGACCAGGGGAAGCAGUAGUCACUUCCGGUUAUAUUGGUGCAGGAUCUGGCAGUCCCAUACCCAUCGAAUACCUUCCUGCGGAGAAUACACUAAGUUCGAAAGUCCGACUAAUGAUUCUCUAUCAAGGACGCCCAACCACAACCAUAGCUGUGGGAGAUCCACUGACUUUCCGGCUGGAGGCACAAGAUGGUUACAAUCACGUAACUGAUAUAUUCGCCACUAAUGUGGUGGCACGUGAUCCAUACUCGGGUAGAAGCAUACAACUUAUUGAUAGAUUUGGCUGCCCUGUGGAUCCUUAUGUGUUUCCCGAGCUGGAUAAACUGCGUGAUGGGGACACAUUGGAGGCGCGUUUCAAUGCCUUUAAAAUACCUGAGUCAAAUUUCCUUGUAUUUGAAGCUACAGUUCGCACUUGUCGUGACGGUUGCCAACCUGCUUAUUGUCCAGGUGCAGCUGGUCGGCAAGAGCCUUCUUUCGGACGUCGCAGACGUUCACUAAACAUAACAGAUGUUGCAGAAAUCGAACCAAAUACCGAACCUGUAUCUGAACGUUUGACUGACGAACUCUCUGAAGUGAAUAGUACCAAAGUAACAGGCACAAUUGGAGAUUUCAACAAAACGAAUACAAGAGAUGACAAGUCUAAUCAGGAGUUAGAAGAACCAGAGCAAGUGCGUGAAAUGAUUGAGGUAUUUGAGACUCGUGAGGAAAUCGAAAAAGACUCUUACCCACGGAAGCUAGUUGCUCCGAUUGAGACCGUGUGCAUGACACCCUCCGAGUAUCAUGGCCUUAUAACAGCAAUUAUACUACUUAUGAUUUUGUUAUUCAGCAUUACUUUGGUAUCCGGCUUAGCUUAUAGACGCUACUGGAGUACGAUGACGAAGAAUCGAAUUGCCGAUCGACAUUCUCCCAUACAUUCACUAGGGCAGUCCUCGAUACGCACGCACGAGCGCUUCAGUGAGAUCGGUCAAAUGGCUAGUGGCAGCGGAAAUGCAAUGCCAAAUCGUACCGCGAAUGCAUUUCGUGCGAAUAUGUCAAUCUUUGGUGGCAGUCUGCAUAAAACAUUUGCCACAGGGAAUUUGGCUAGAAUGUGUCAACUGCCUGUUAUAAAUCCGAUACGAAAUAACGUCAGUACAAGUCAUCAAUUUGAGGACCCUAGUGAACCAAUAUAUACCGAUCCAUCAUUGUUCGAACGCUCUAGGUGCGUAAGCUUAAAUGUUUGUGGUGUUGAAUUAAUUUUUCAUUAUGUCGCUAUGCAAAUGCACGAAAAUCAUAUGGGUAUAUCUAAUAAUAUAUUCACAUAUAGCACAUGAUAACUUAGAAAAAGAAAUUUUUGUGAAAUGAUAGCGCCGGAAGCAAUCUACACUCUCUAAUGCAAUUAGAUCUUUGCGCAGCCUAACCACAGAAGGAGAUGCUGAGAAUCGUCACGCAGUGUAAGCCGAUUUAUCGCACAUACAAAACACAUAAACAUAAUGCACGAAGAAGAAAUUAAAAGUCAUUGUAGAUGCAGCAGAUUAAGUAAAUUUCAGUAUGAAAUUUCCAAAAUAAGAACUUUCCACUUCCGUACCGCUAUGCUACAUAGACUUUUAUAUAUAUAUUAUUAAAGUGAGCUAUGUAAAAUAAAAAUAUAAGUUUUGUUUAGGUAACAUCUGCAAUAAAAAAUAAUAAAA
This is a non-coding RNA of Bactrocera oleae (olive fruit fly), 5771 nucleotides long. Lineage: Eukaryota; Metazoa; Arthropoda; Insecta; Diptera; Tephritidae. The record is from RefSeq and is a predicted model, not a curated record.